GAGCUAAUACCGGAUAAUAUAUUGAACCGCAUGGCUCAAUAGCGAAAGACGGUUUUGCUGUCACUUAUAGAUGGAUCCGCGCCGCAUUAGCUAGUUGGUAAGGUAACGGCUUACCAAGGCGACGAUGCGUAGCCGACCUGAGAGGGUGAUCGGCCACACUGGAACUGAGACACGGUCCAG
Molecule: ribosomal RNA, 180 nt
Filed under: uncultured Staphylococcus sp.
Lineage: Bacteria; Bacillati; Bacillota; Bacilli; Caryophanales; Staphylococcaceae
Description: partial 16S ribosomal RNA
Rfam family: Bacterial small subunit ribosomal RNA
Source: RNAcentral